This is an RNA transcript of Mus musculus (house mouse), 2737 nucleotides long. It is a transcript of the gene named transforming growth factor, beta induced, with no coding region annotated. NCBI's taxonomy places the organism in Eukaryota, Metazoa, Chordata, Mammalia, Rodentia, Muridae. The record is from RefSeq and is marked validated. The transcript is spliced from 17 exons.
CUCACUUCACCAGCACCGCCCGCGCCUGCUUUCAUCGUGGGUCCGCGCGUGCUCCAGCUCCAUGGCGCUCCUCAUGCGACUGCUGACCCUCGCUCUGGCACUGUCUGUGGGCCCCGCUGGGACCCUUGCAGGUCCCGCCAAGUCACCCUACCAGCUGGUGCUGCAGCAUAGCCGGCUCCGGGGUCGCCAGCACGGCCCCAAUGUAUGUGCUGUGCAGAAGGUCAUUGGCACCAACAAGAAAUACUUCACCAACUGCAAGCAGUGGUACCAGAGGAAGAUCUGCGGCAAGUCGACAGUCAUCAGUUAUGAGUGCUGUCCUGGAUAUGAAAAGGUCCCAGGAGAGAAAGGUUGCCCAGCAGCUCUUCCGCUCUCAAAUCUGUAUGAGACCAUGGGAGUUGUGGGAUCGACCACCACACAGCUGUAUACAGACCGCACAGAAAAGCUGAGGCCUGAGAUGGAGGGACCCGGAAGCUUCACCAUCUUUGCUCCUAGCAAUGAGGCCUGGUCUUCCUUGCCUGCGGAAGUGCUGGACUCCCUGGUGAGCAACGUCAACAUCGAACUGCUCAAUGCUCUCCGCUACCACAUGGUGGACAGGCGGGUCCUGACCGAUGAGCUCAAGCACGGCAUGACCCUCACCUCCAUGUACCAGAAUUCCAACAUCCAGAUCCAUCACUAUCCCAAUGGGAUUGUAACUGUUAACUGUGCCCGGCUGCUGAAGGCUGACCACCAUGCGACCAACGGCGUGGUGCAUCUCAUUGACAAGGUCAUUUCCACCAUCACCAACAACAUCCAGCAGAUCAUUGAAAUCGAGGACACCUUUGAGACACUUCGGGCCGCCGUGGCUGCAUCAGGACUCAAUACCGUGCUGGAGGGCGACGGCCAGUUCACACUCUUGGCCCCAACCAACGAGGCCUUUGAGAAGAUCCCUGCCGAGACCUUGAACCGCAUCCUGGGUGACCCAGAGGCACUGAGAGACCUGCUAAACAACCACAUCCUGAAGUCAGCCAUGUGUGCUGAGGCCAUUGUAGCUGGAAUGUCCAUGGAGACCCUGGGGGGCACCACACUGGAGGUGGGCUGCAGUGGGGACAAGCUCACCAUCAACGGGAAGGCUGUCAUCUCCAACAAAGACAUCCUGGCCACCAACGGUGUCAUUCAUUUCAUUGAUGAGCUGCUUAUCCCAGAUUCAGCCAAGACACUGCUUGAGCUGGCUGGGGAAUCUGACGUCUCCACUGCCAUUGACAUCCUCAAACAAGCUGGCCUCGAUACUCAUCUCUCUGGGAAAGAACAGUUGACCUUCCUGGCCCCCCUGAAUUCUGUGUUCAAAGAUGGUGUCCCUCGCAUCGACGCCCAGAUGAAGACUUUGCUUCUGAACCACAUGGUCAAAGAACAGUUGGCCUCCAAGUAUCUGUACUCUGGACAGACACUGGACACGCUGGGUGGCAAAAAGCUGCGAGUCUUUGUUUAUCGAAAUAGCCUCUGCAUUGAAAACAGCUGCAUUGCUGCCCAUGAUAAGAGGGGACGGUUUGGGACCCUGUUCACCAUGGACCGGAUGUUGACACCCCCAAUGGGGACAGUUAUGGAUGUCCUGAAGGGAGACAAUCGUUUUAGCAUGCUGGUGGCCGCCAUCCAGUCUGCAGGACUCAUGGAGAUCCUCAACCGGGAAGGGGUCUACACUGUUUUUGCUCCCACCAAUGAAGCGUUCCAAGCCAUGCCUCCAGAAGAACUGAACAAACUCUUGGCAAAUGCCAAGGAACUUACCAACAUCCUGAAGUACCACAUUGGUGAUGAAAUCCUGGUUAGCGGAGGCAUCGGGGCCCUGGUGCGGCUGAAGUCUCUCCAAGGGGACAAACUGGAAGUCAGCUCGAAAAACAAUGUAGUGAGUGUCAAUAAGGAGCCUGUUGCCGAAACCGACAUCAUGGCCACAAACGGUGUGGUCUAUGCCAUCAACACUGUUCUGCAGCCGCCAGGCUGUUUUUCCUUUCUCUCUAGCCAACCGACCACAAGAACGAGGAGAUGAGCUGGCAGACUCUGCCCUUGAAAUCUUCAAACAGGCGUCAGCGUAUUCCAGGGCUGCCCAGAGGUCUGUGCGACUUGCCCCUGUCUAUCAGCGGUUACUGGAGAGGAUGAAGCAUUAGCAGGAAGACCGAGGAGGAGAGCCCUGCAGCAGCUUCCCGCCAGUUUCUCUCAGUUUGCCAAAGAGACCAUUGAAUGUUUUUGAAACCAAAGAGCACACUUCAACAUACAUGGGCUGCACCAUAUUGAGAUCUGAGCCUUGGACGGGUAGGGAAGGGGUUAAGGGGAGAAAGGUUCUUUUUAGCUUUCGAUCCCUCCAAACGUGGUUGUUAACCCAUUGAAUAUACAGAUCUGGCAGUCAUAGCUUGGCACCAAAUUCCCGAAAGGACCUCUCGAAAGCAUGGAAUUUCCUGACUGUGCCAAGGGCCUGGAUAAAGGGGAACUACGGCAUCUUGGAGCUCACAAAUGUGAAUCAAGCAGUCCGGCAUUCUGGAAAGCCUUGGCAUGGUUCUGUAAAGCUCUUGUACCGCUGGAGAAACGGCAUCACUAUAAGCUAUGAGUUGAACUGUUUCUGUCAAGUAUGUCUUGUGUCCACACAUGGUUUGGAUGCUUCUAUAUUGGCCCUGCCCAGGUAGAAAGGGUAAGAAGAACAUGUAGAAUCCAGAUUCCCUGAGUGUGAGGGACCCAUGGUGCAUUUGUAAUAAUAAAACCAAAGAAACAAACA